AGCUCCAAUAGCGUAUACUAAAGUUGUUGCAGUUAAAAAGCUCGUAGUCGAAUGUAGAUUGUACAGGUGCGCGGACGUUUAGGUGUAUAACUUAUAUUGUCUGUACGCCACAAUCACCCUUAUGUAGUACGGUUGUUUUGGUUUCCAGAACAAAUUUACCGACUACAUACAUUACUGUGAACAAAAUAGAGUGUUCAUGGCAGGCCAAUUAGGCUUGAAUACCUCAGCAUGGAAUAAUAGAAUAGGACUUCUGGUUCUAUUUUGUUGGUUUUUGGAGCCGAAGUAAUGAUUAAUAGGGAUAGUUGGGGGCACUCGUACUCCGUUGUCAGAGGUGAAAUUCUUGGAUUGACGGAAGACGAACAACUGCGAAAGCAUCUGCCAAGGAUGUUU
Molecule: ribosomal RNA, 390 nt
Filed under: uncultured eukaryote
Lineage: Eukaryota
Description: SSU rRNA
Rfam family: Eukaryotic small subunit ribosomal RNA
Source: RNAcentral